RNAcentral lists this long non-coding RNA (1308 nucleotides) under Homo sapiens (human). RNAcentral describes it as "long intergenic non-protein coding RNA 343". The record is from RNAcentral. Lineage: Eukaryota; Metazoa; Chordata; Mammalia; Primates; Hominidae.
AUGGGAAAGAAACCUGGAAAGUACCCUUGGCUGUGUACAUUUGAGUAAAGAGAGCACUAUAAAAUCAAAAACCAAUGAAAUGGUUUCCAGAACACAGAACUAUUAAGCUUAAGAAAAGGACAGAAGGAACUGAAGAGAGAGGAACUGUUUUGGAGCAUCACACUUCCACCUCAGAAGAAAUAAGGAAGGAAGGAGGAGGGUGUUCCCACGGCUCUUCAACCAGGCCGGCUCUUCAGCCUACAUCCCCAUCUCAUCAAGUAAAAGGGAUUUUUCAACUGGACCAACCAGAUGGUUUAACAGUGCACUCCCACACCAUUCAACUACGCAAGGGAGAUACACUUAACAUAUGCAGUCGUAUAACACCUACUAACAUUUUCAAACAUUAAACCUUUAAAAAAGAGUUCUAAAGAAAUAGAAGCUUGAAGUAUCAUCUCUCAAGUAUAUAGACACUACUUCAUGGUGUGGUAAUAUAUGCAUAUAGAAGCUAGUAAACACCUCCAGGAGAUGCAAAAGGAAUUAGAACUGCCACAAGGUGCAAGCAAAACCUUGAGUCUCCAUUGAUGGUGAAGUAUUUUCACUAUUUGGCAUGUCUUCUCUAGUACCUAGAGCAGUGCGUUGCAUGCAGUAGCAGGUUUAUAAACAUUUGCGAGUAAAACAUCCAACCUGAUACUCAAGGUAAUCAAUCUGCAUCCCAUUUUGGAUGAGAAUAUUUGCAACUUUGAAGGUUAUUUUAAGGACAGCAGCAGAAGAAUUAUGGCAGCUUCUUUAAAAUAUGAAGACUUCGAAGUUAUUUAUCCAAACCAACCUGAUCAUUUCUUAAGAGUGAAUAUACCUUGGAAGACGUGUCCUGCCUUUAGUAGCGUCACAAUGGAUUACAUCCUCUAUAAAGCAGUCUGGGGUGAGAAAAUCGAAUUUGGACACCGUUGAGGAGACUAUUGCAGUCAUCCAAGCUCAAGAUGGUGGAGCUUCAUCCUUGAGAAUAACCAAUGGGGAUAGAUUUAAGAGACACUUAGAGUCUGCAGCCAACAGGGCUGAAUGAGCAGAGAGUUAUGAUUCAGAAGAUCAUCUAAAAUUGAACAGCUGCCACUACUGGCAAUAAGUCUACUGCCAUUUGGUAGAUAACCUUCUUAUCACACAGAAAAAUAUCAGUACAGACAAAUAGACCGCAAAGAAAAUGAGACCAUCAGCAAAGAAGAUAAAGAAGUUUGUACAAAGCAACUUUUUAUAAAUGGAUGGCUGUCAGGCAAAAAUAAAUUUCCUGUGGACAAGACCAAGAGCAAGGCAAGAGGAAAAUAAACAUGUUUAAAC